RNAcentral lists this transfer RNA (65 nucleotides) under Cryptocephalus pominorum. Its description in RNAcentral is "tRNA-Leu". It matches the Rfam family "tRNA". Rfam says of the family: Transfer RNA (tRNA) molecules are approximately 80 nucleotides in length. Their secondary structure includes four short double-helical elements and three loops (D, anti-codon, and T loops). Lineage: Eukaryota; Metazoa; Arthropoda; Insecta; Coleoptera; Chrysomelidae. The record is from RNAcentral.
UCUAAUAUGGCAGAAUAGUGCAAUGGACUUAAACCCCAUAUAUAAGGCCUAAGCCUUUUUUAGAA